This 495-nucleotide ribosomal RNA is filed under the name uncultured bacterium. Its description in RNAcentral is "partial 16S ribosomal RNA". It matches the Rfam family "Bacterial small subunit ribosomal RNA", at positions 28 to 507 of the family's 1533-position model. The record is from RNAcentral.
GACGAACGCUGGCGGCGUGCCUAAUACAUGCAAGUAGAACGCUGACGGCGGAGCUUGCUCUUCUUUAUGAGUCGCCAACGGGUGCGUAACGCGUAAGUACCCUGCCUGGUAGCGGGUGAUAACUAUUUGAAACGAUAGCUAAUACCGCAUAACAGUAGAUGUUGCAUGACAUUUACUUAAAAGGUGCAAUUGCAUCACUACCAGAUGGACCUGCGUUGUAUUAGCUAGUUGGUGGGGUAACGGCUCACCAAGGCGACGAUACAUAGCCGACCUGGGAGGGGGAUCGGCCACACUGAGACUGGGACAGGGCCCAGACUCCUACGGGAGGCAGCAGUAGGGAAGCGUCGGCAAGAGAAGGAAGUCAGAGCGAGCAACGCCGCGGGAGUGAAGAAGGUUGUCGGAUCGUAAAGCGCUGUUGUAAGAGAAGAACGAGUGUGGGAGUGGAAAGUUCACUCUGUGACGGUAUCUUACCAGAAAGGGACGGCUAACUACGUG